Molecule: ribosomal RNA, 496 nt
Filed under: uncultured microorganism
Description: bacterial SSU rRNA
Rfam family: Archaeal small subunit ribosomal RNA
Source: RNAcentral
UGUCGGGGUAACGGCCCAACAAGCCAGUAAUCGGUACGGGUUGUGGGAGCAAGAGCCCGGAGUUGGAUUCUGAGACACGAAUCCAGGCCCUACGGGGCGCAGCAGGCGCGAAAACUUUACAAUGCGGGCAACCGUGAUAAGGGAACCUCGAGUGCCUGUAUAUGCAGGCUGUCUGGGUGUCUAAAACACACCUAAAGAAAGGGCCGGGCAAGACCAGUGCCAGCCGCCGCGGUAAUACCGGCGGCUCGAGUGGUGGCCACUUUUAUUGGGCUUAAAGCGUUCGUAGCUGGGUUAUUAAGUCCCUUGGGAAAUCCGACGGCUUAACCGUCGGGCGUCUAAGGGAUACUGGCAAUCUUGGAACCGGGAGAGGUGAGGGGUACUUCGGGGGUAGGAGUGAAAUCCUGUAAUCCUCGAGGGACCACCUGUGGCGAAGGCGCCUCACCAGAACGGCUUCGACAGUGAGGGACGAAAGCUGGGGGAGCAAACCGGAUUAGAU